This 75-nucleotide transfer RNA is filed under the name Pseudomonadota bacterium. RNAcentral's name for it is "tRNA-Glu". It matches the Rfam family "tRNA". From Rfam's summary of the family: Transfer RNA (tRNA) molecules are approximately 80 nucleotides in length. Their secondary structure includes four short double-helical elements and three loops (D, anti-codon, and T loops). Further hydrogen bonds mediate the characteristic L-shaped molecular structure. tRNAs have two regions of fundamental functional importance: the anti-codon, which is responsible for specific mRNA codon recognition, and the 3' end, to which the tRNAs corresponding amino acid is attached (by aminoacyl-tRNA synthetases). tRNAs cope with the degeneracy of the genetic code in two manners: having more than one tRNA (with a specific anti-codon) for a particular amino acid; and 'wobble' base-pairing, i.e. permitting non-standard base-pairing at the 3rd anti-codon position. The record is from RNAcentral. RNAcentral also lists the same sequence under 1 other name. Lineage: Bacteria; Pseudomonadati; Pseudomonadota.
GGCCCCUUCAUCUAAUGGUUAGGAUACUGCCCUUUCAAGGCAGCGAUACGGGUUCGAAUCCCGUAGGGGUCACCA